GUACACACCGCCCGUCGCUACUACCGAUUGGGGGGUUGGGUGAGGCCUUGAGAUUCAAGGAAAAAGGCGUAAGCCUUUUUCUUGGAGAACAAGACCAAACUCUGCUCUCUAGAGGAAGUAAAAGUCGUAACAAGGUUUCCGUAGGUGAACCUGCAGAAGGAUCA
RNAcentral lists this ribosomal RNA (164 nucleotides) under uncultured eukaryote. RNAcentral describes it as "partial small subunit ribosomal RNA". It matches the Rfam family "Eukaryotic small subunit ribosomal RNA", at positions 1662 to 1828 of the family's 1831-position model. The record is from RNAcentral.